Molecule: transfer RNA, 75 nt
Filed under: Podarcis lilfordi (Lilford's wall lizard)
Lineage: Eukaryota; Metazoa; Chordata; Lepidosauria; Squamata; Lacertidae
Rfam family: tRNA
About the family: Transfer RNA (tRNA) molecules are approximately 80 nucleotides in length. Their secondary structure includes four short double-helical elements and three loops (D, anti-codon, and T loops).
Source: Rfam by way of RNAcentral
GCCUGAAUAGCUCAGUCGGUAGAGCACAAGACUCUUAAUCUCUCAAGGUUGUGGGUUCAAGCCCCACACUGGGCA